AGCGAACGCUGGCGGCAUGCCUAACACAUGCAAGUCGCACGGGGGGGCUUCGGCCUCCCAGUGGCGGACGGGUGAGGAACGCGUAGGGACCUGUCGAGGGGUGGGGGAUAACCGCGGGAACCUGCGGCUAAUACCGCAUGACGCCGCGGCGUGACAGCCGGGGCCAAAGGCGAAAGCCGCCCGCCGAGGGGCCUGCGUCCGAUUAGCUGGUUGGCGGGGUAGCGGCCCACCAAGGCGUCGAUCGGUAGCUGGUCUGAGAGGGUGAUCAGCCACACCGGGACUGAGACACGGCCCGGACUCCUACGGGAGGCAGCAGUGGGGAAUAUUGGACAAUGGGCGCAAGCCUGAUCCAGCAAUGCCGCGUGGGUGAAGAAGGUCUUCGGAUUGUAAAGCCCUUUCGGCGGGGACGAUGGUGACGGUACCCGCAGAAGAAGCCCCGGCUAACUUCGUG
Molecule: ribosomal RNA, 451 nt
Filed under: uncultured bacterium
Lineage: Bacteria
Description: partial 16S ribosomal RNA
Rfam family: Bacterial small subunit ribosomal RNA
Source: RNAcentral